UACAGAGGUGGCAAGCGUUGUUCGGAUUUACUGGGCGUAAAGGGUGCGUAGGCGGUUCUGUGUGUCGGAUGUGAAAUCCCACGGAUUAUCCGUGGAACUGCAUUCGAAACUGCAGGGCUGGAGUGCAGGAGAGGAAGGUGGAAUUCUCGGUGUAGCGGUGAAAUGCGUUGAUAUCGAGAGGAACGCCGGAGGCGAAGGCGACCUUCUGGACUGCAACUGACGCUGAGGCACGAAAGUCAGGGGAGCAAACAGG
This 253-nucleotide ribosomal RNA is filed under the name uncultured bacterium. RNAcentral's name for it is "partial 16S ribosomal RNA". It matches the Rfam family "Bacterial small subunit ribosomal RNA", at positions 524 to 776 of the family's 1533-position model. The record is from RNAcentral.